AUUGAACGCUGGCGGCAGGCCUAACACAUGCAAGUCGAGCGAGCGGCGGACGGGUGAGUAAUGUAUGGGGACUGCCCGAUAGAGGGGGAUAACUACUGGAAAAGGUAUCUAAUACCGCAUACUAUCGGAUAACCCAUAUGGGAUUAGCUAGUAGGGGAGGUAAGGGCGCACCUAGACGACGAUCCCUAGCUGGUCUGAGAGGAUGAGCAGCCACACUGGGACUGAGACACGGUCCAGACUCCUACGGAGGCAGCAGUGGGGAAUAUUGCACAAUGGGCGCAAGCCUGAUGCAGCCAUGCCGCGUGUAUGAAGAAGGCCCUAGGGUUGUAAAGUACUUUCAGUCGGGAGGCGUUACCGACAGAAGAAGCACCGGCUAAAUCCGUGCCAGCAGCCGCGGUAAUUC
Molecule: ribosomal RNA, 403 nt
Filed under: uncultured bacterium
Lineage: Bacteria
Description: partial 16S ribosomal RNA
Rfam family: Bacterial small subunit ribosomal RNA
Source: RNAcentral